AUACUAUGAGUGAAGUUUCUUCUGUUUCUAAAAGUUAAAUUAAUUAAUUAAAUUUAAAUCGGAGGAGCAGUUUUGUGAGUUCUCAUAUCGAAAUUAUUCAAUAAGAGGCUGGUUGACUCAAAUAGAACUUAUUAGAAAUAGAAAUAAAAAAUAAAAAUGAAGAAACAUUUUUAUUGUUUGUUAUUGUUGGGUUUGAUUCGGACCACAAGUCACAGGUGAUGACCGGCGCUUUUUGGAGUGUCCUUUCCUUUUUGCUUGGUUGUCCGUGCUCGCGAGUGGAGGUUCGGGUGUGCGUGGUGUCCUAGUGUCCCGAUUCCAAGGGGUCUGAACCGUGCCGAUUCCCAAAUAAACGGGCAGGGCACGCAUCGUCAUCCUCAGCGAAAAUAAGGGAAUUCAGAAAUAAAUCCGAAAGCCCCGUAAUUUUGCGGACCCACUGCCACGUGCUACGCUUAGACCCACACUUAAUCGAGAUUUUGGUUGGGCAGUGCUCGGUGGCGAGCUCUGCGCUGUGUCCUGCUUUAGCGGCUGUCGCCGGAUUUUUUCCUCCGUUGAAGGUGACGAUGGUGCCUGAGAGUCGUUCCCCGACCAUGACUGGCCGAUAUGUACACUACCGAGGCCGUCCACCGCGGUCCUGGGCUACCCUACUUCAUAGGAGGUGUUUGGCACCGGCUGUCCCGCAGUGCCAGACGCUUGCUGCGCCCGACGGGUGCGGAGGGGGUUGAGCCGAGUGGUGGUGACUAGCGCGCUAAUCCCGUAUUCUUAAGUAUUUUUAAUCCAUACCAACCAAACGGCCCAACGACCCAU
Ostrinia nubilalis (European corn borer) is the source of this 804-nucleotide long non-coding RNA. RefSeq lists it as uncharacterized. Lineage: Eukaryota; Metazoa; Arthropoda; Insecta; Lepidoptera; Crambidae. The record is from RefSeq and is a predicted model, not a curated record. The transcript has 4 exons.